GGGGGGGCGAUACCUGGUAAUUGCAGCUGCUUAUGCUUCACUUCACACUGGCUGUGACAGAUACUGACUUGUAGUCUGCAAUAACAGUGAUUUGACGCGACAAACGGCUUGCCUGAAAGUGAUUUUAUCAGCCGUUGAUUUGGAGAAGUGUACGACUCCCGAGGACCGAGAAGUGCUCUCACAGUCAGACAGGAACAAACCGGCGCUGUCUGGGAUUACGGAUGCUCCAGCCCCUGCCAUGACAGCAAGCGAUUGAAGAGAAUAUGGAACAGCAGACAGAUAAAUCAUAUGACACGGCAGCCAUUUUAAAUGACAAACAUUCUGACCCCCAAGCGUCCUUUUGGUCAGUUUAAUACUCACCCGUUUCCUUCGGCUCAUCGCUCACAAACAAACGGAUGUCAUACCACAGUACGGAUCGGCCUCCAGACCCUGGGCUUCCUAACUGCAUGACUUAAACCUGGAACCGAAUAUCACUCCCAGCGUGAGUCUGGCCCACAGGAGGAGGAAAUAAGACGUGACACCAAUAUAACCGACAAAACAGAUGCACACUCCAUAAUGCACCAGCAGGACACGGAAACCGCCGUUGCUUUUGUUUCCCAAGGCGUUAAGAAAGGCUUUAAAUAACUCAUUUGGACAUAUGGACGACAUCACUGCUUUACUUGGGAUGCUUUAUGCAUAUUCCACAUUGCAUUACAAAGGUGCAACACAAUGGGAAAUGAAUAAAGAAAGCUUCCUCUUGUCACUUACUUUCUCUCUCUUGUUGUUGUUUCUUUAUGUUAGCCAGGCCUGUGUCUCUGCCCACCUGUCUUCAUGGGCACAGAUUGGGGCAGCAGACGUCCAUGCGGGUAUUUAGAUUUGUGCACAAAGCCCGGUGAACAGGAAGUUGGAGGGACUUGCAUCAGGGCCCAUCUGCUCUCUACAGCUGGCUGCCUGACAGCUGGAAAUUGAUUCUACUGAGAUUGGUACCUGUGUCUCA
Long non-coding RNA from Puntigrus tetrazona (Sumatra barb), 976 nucleotides. RefSeq lists it as uncharacterized. The record is from RefSeq and is a predicted model, not a curated record. The transcript has 5 exons. NCBI's taxonomy places the organism in Eukaryota, Metazoa, Chordata, Actinopteri, Cypriniformes, Cyprinidae.